ACUCAUGUGCCAGCACCAAGUCCUGGGAGGCGCAGGCCCAGGCAGAGACCAUCAGGGACAUCCCGCAGGCGAAACCGCUCCCGCCUGCAACGUCAGACCCCAGAUCCAUCCGGCCGGUCCAGAAGCCGCCGUGACAGAAACUGUGUGAGAGCACCAAGUGCUGGGAGCCGCAUCCCCAGCCAGGAAGCAUCAGGGACAUCCCGCAGGCGAAACCGCUCCCGCCUGCAACGUCCGACCCCAAAUCCAUCCAACCGGUCCAGAAGUCCCCAUGGCAGGACCUGCACGCCAGCACCGAGUGCUGGGAGGCGAAACCCAAGGGAGACAGCAGCCAGGACUUCCCAAAGGCAACACCACUCCCACCAGCAGCGUCAGACGCUGAACUCAUCCAGCAGAUCCAGAAGUCGCCAUGACAGGAGCCGUGUUAGAGCACCAGGUGCUGCCAGGAGCACUCACCGGUGGGACGGUGAGACAGGGACCCACCGCUGACACGUCCCAUGUCACACAGGGAGGAGCAGCCCCCAAAGGGAGAGAGCCAGCAUGCCUGCUGUGUCAGCCUUCAGAGGCCGACCCGGACAUCUGUGGGGAGAAAAACUUCAGAUAAAUGGGCUCUGUGUCCACGAGUUCUGCCUGUUUUUUGCCAGCCACCUUCCUCAGCACAAUGAUGGUCAAGUAGGACUCUUUGGCUUUCUCCCAAGGGAUAUCCUAGACGUAGUUUCCUGGGUGGUA
This is a long non-coding RNA of Corapipo altera (White-ruffed manakin), 726 nucleotides long. RefSeq lists it as uncharacterized. The record is from RefSeq and is a predicted model, not a curated record. Lineage: Eukaryota; Metazoa; Chordata; Aves; Passeriformes; Pipridae. The transcript is spliced from 3 exons.